GUAGGUGGCAAGCGUUGUCCGGAAUUAUUGGGCGUAAAGCGCGCGCAGGCGGUUCUUUAAGUCUGAUGUGAAAGCCCACGGCUCAACCGUGGAGGGUCAUUGGAAACUGGAGAACUUGAGUACAGAAGAGGAAAGCGGAAUUCCACGUGUAGCGGUGAAAUGCGUAGAGAUGUGGAGGAACACCAGUGGCGAAGGCGGCUUUCUGGUCUGUAACUGACGCUGAGGCGCGAAAGCGUGGGGAGCAAACAGGAUUAGAUACCCUGGUAGUCCACGCCGUAAACGAUGAGUGCUAAGUGUUAGGGGGUUUCCGCCCCCCUUAGUGCUGCAGCUAACGCAUUAAGCACUCCGCCUGGGAGUACGGACGCAAGGCUG
This 372-nucleotide ribosomal RNA is filed under the name uncultured organism. RNAcentral's name for it is "partial 16S ribosomal RNA". It matches the Rfam family "Bacterial small subunit ribosomal RNA", at positions 527 to 896 of the family's 1533-position model. The record is from RNAcentral.